CGAGGGAAAAGCGCAUUUUGUGCUUGCACAUAGUGGACGUCCACCGGCUCUCGUGAGAGUAACGCGUAUCCCCCCUCCCCUUUUGUGGGGGAAUACCCGCCAAAGGGCACACUUAUACCGCUUUCUCCUCCAAGACCGCACCAGAUUUGAAGUUGACUUUUAUCCCCUAUGGAUGGGGAUGCGUCAGAUUAGCUUGGUCGCGGGAUCACGGCCCCCCGAGGCCACAUAUUAUAAGGGUUCUAGAGAGGAUUGUCCCCCAUAUUGGAUCUAAUACACGCUCCAAUCUCCCACGGGAGGCAACAGUGUGAAAUAUUGGUCAAUGGGCGAGAGCCUGACCCUGCCUUAUAGCGUGCAGGAUAACGGCCCCAUGGGUUGUAAACGGCUUUUGUAUGUGGAUAAAGUACUUCACGUGUGAUUGUUUGCUGGUACCAUACAAUUAAGGACCGGCUAAUUCCGUGCCGCCACCCGCGGUAAUACUGAAGGUCCGGGCGUUGUCCAAUUUUUUGGUUUAAAGGGAGCGUAGCCCGGAGAUUAAGUGUGUUGUGAAAUGUAGACGCUCAACGUCUGACUUGCAGCGCAUACUGGUUCCUUGAGUACGCACAACGUUGGCGGAAUUCGUCGUGUAGCGGUGAAAUGCUUAGAUAUGACGAAGAACUCCGAUUGCGAAGGCAGCUGACGGGAGCGCAACUGACGCUUAAGCUCGAAGGUGCGGGUAUCGAACAGGAUUAGAUACCCUGGUAGUCCGCACAGUAAACGAUGGAUGCCCGCUGUUGGUACCUGGUAUCAGCGGCUAAGCGAAAGCAUUAAGCAUCCCACCUGGGGAGUACGCCGGCAACGGUGAAACUCAAAGGAAUUGACGGGGGCCCGCACAAGCGGAGGAACAUGUGGUUUAAUUCGAUGAUACGCGAGGAACCUUACCCGGGCUUGAAUUGCAGAGGAAGGAUUUAGAGAUAAUGACGCCCUUCGGGGCCUCUGUGAAGGUGCUGCAUGGUUGUCGUCAGCUCGUGCCGUGAGGUGUCGGCUUAAGUGCCAUAACGAGCGCAACCCCUCUCUUCAGUUGCCAUCAGGUGAUGCUGGGCACUCUGGAGACACUGCCACCGUAAGGUGUGAGGAAGGUGGGGAUGACGUCAAAUCAGCACGGCCCUUACGUCCGGGGCUACACACGUGUUACAAUGGCCGGUACAGAGGGAUGGUGUAAUGCAAAUUGCAUCAAAUCUUGAAAGCCGGUCCCAGUUCGGACUGGGGUCUGCAACCCGACCCCACGAAGCUGGAUUCGCUAGUAAUCGCGCAUCAGCCAUGGCGCGGUGAAUACGUUCCCGGGCCU
RNAcentral lists this ribosomal RNA (1324 nucleotides) under uncultured bacterium. Its description in RNAcentral is "bacterial SSU rRNA". It matches the Rfam family "Bacterial small subunit ribosomal RNA", at positions 63 to 1381 of the family's 1533-position model. The record is from RNAcentral.